AGCAGCCGCGGUAAUUCCAGCUCCAAUAGCGUAUAUUAAAGUUGUUGCAGUUAAAAAGCUCGUAGUUGAAUUUCGGGGUUAGUAGGUUGGUCAUGCCUCUGGUAUGUACUGGUCUCACUGAUUCCUCCUUCCUGAUGAACCUUAAUGCCAUUAAUUUGGUGUUUUGGGGAAUUUGGACUGUUACUUUGAAAAAAUUAGAGUGUUUAAAGCAAGCUAACGCUUGAAUACAUUAGCAUGGAAUAAUGAAAUAGGACGUUCGAUCCUAUUUUGUUGGUUUCUAGGAUUGACGUAAUGAUUAAUAGGGAUAGUUGGGGGCAUUAGUAUUCAAUUGUCAGAGGUGAAAUUCUUGGAUUUAUUGAAGACUAACUACUGUGAAAGCAUUUGCCAAGGAUGUUUUCAUUAAUCAAGAACGAAAGUUAGGGGAUCGAAGACGAUCAGAUACCGUCGUAGUCUUAACCAUAAACUAUGCCGACUAGGGAUCGGAUGAUGUUAAUUUUUUAAUGACUCAUUCGGCGCCUUA
This 520-nucleotide ribosomal RNA is filed under the name uncultured Glomus. RNAcentral's name for it is "SSU rRNA". It matches the Rfam family "Eukaryotic small subunit ribosomal RNA", at positions 569 to 1090 of the family's 1831-position model. Lineage: Eukaryota; Fungi; Glomeromycota; Glomeromycetes; Glomerales; Glomeraceae. The record is from RNAcentral.